RNAcentral lists this non-coding RNA (920 nucleotides) under Aplastodiscus sibilatus. Its description in RNAcentral is "partial 12S ribosomal RNA". It matches the Rfam family "Bacterial small subunit ribosomal RNA". The record is from RNAcentral. Lineage: Eukaryota; Metazoa; Chordata; Amphibia; Anura; Hylidae.
GGUCCCAGCCUUGAAAUCAGUUGUUACUUUAUUUAUACAUGCAAGUAUCCGCACCCCUGUGAAAACGCCCUUUUACCCUAACAGGGACAAGGAGCUGGUAUCAGGCACAACACAUAGCCCAAGACACCUAGCCAUGCCACACCCAUAAGGGAAAUCAGCAGUAAUUAACAUUGAACAUAAGCGCCAGCUUGAUUCAGUCAAAGUAAUAAGGGCAGGCAAAUACGGUGCCAGCCGCCGCGGUUAUACCAUGAGGCCCAAAUUGAUUUCUUUCGGCGUAAAGCGUGAUUAAAGAAACAUUAAACUGUAGUUUAACUAACAUUAAGUCGUAAUAAGCUUACACUUAAGAGACCCAUAAACGAAAGUCACUACACCUAAAACAACUUGAACUCACCACAGCUGAGGCACAAACUGGGAUUAGAGACCCCACUAUGCUCAGCCCCAAACUUUUAAUUACACCCAAAACGCCCGGGAACUACGAGCAAAGCUUAAAACCCAAAGGACUUGACGGUGCCCCACAUCCCCCUAGAGGAGCCUGUCCUACAAUCGAUAACCCCCGCUUAACCUCACCAUCUUUUGCCAACCAGUCUGUAUACCUCCGUCGUCAGCUUACCGCAUGAGUGACUAAGAGUAAGUCUAAUGUCCACUACCGUCAAUACGUCAGGUCAAGGUGCAACUAAUGAGAUGGGAAGAGAUGGGCUACACUCUCUAACAUAGAAAAUACUAAAAACUAACUGAAAACUAGUUUAAAGGCGGAUUUAGCAGUAAGAAAGGUUAGAGCACCUAUCUUAACCAGGCACUGGGGUGUGUACACACCGCCCGUCACCCUCUUCGGAGCUCUAACAACAGUAUGUAACCAAAUGGUGCAUCGUAGAAGAGGUAAGUCGUAACAUGGUAAGUAUACCGGAAGGUGUGCUUGGAAA